RNAcentral lists this ribosomal RNA (392 nucleotides) under uncultured Gammaproteobacteria bacterium. Its description in RNAcentral is "bacterial SSU rRNA". It matches the Rfam family "Bacterial small subunit ribosomal RNA", at positions 111 to 485 of the family's 1533-position model. The record is from RNAcentral. Lineage: Bacteria; Pseudomonadati; Pseudomonadota; Gammaproteobacteria.
GAAUACAUAGGAAUCUGCCUGAUAGUGGGGGGUAACUUAGGGAAACUUAAGCUAAUACCGCAUACCGCCCUACGGGGGAAAGCAGGGGAUCGCAAGACCUUGCGCUAUUAGAUGAGCCUAUGUCGGAUUAGCUAGUUGGUAGGGUAACCGGCCUACCAAGGCGACCGAUCCCGUAGCUGGUCUGAGAGGACCGACCAGCCACACUGGGACUGAGACACGGCCCAGACUCCUACCGGGAGGCAGCAAGUGGGGAAUAUUGGACAAUGGGGGCAACCCUGAUCCAAGCAAUGCCCGCGUGUGUGAAGAAGGCCUUCGGGUUGUAAAGCACUUUCAGUUAGGGGAGGAAAAAGCUUGAUGCUAAUACCAUUGGAGUCUUGGACGUUACCUUACAA